Molecule: ribosomal RNA, 252 nt
Filed under: uncultured bacterium
Lineage: Bacteria
Description: partial 16S ribosomal RNA
Rfam family: Bacterial small subunit ribosomal RNA
Source: RNAcentral
UACGUGAGGGGCGAACGUUGUUCGGUGUCACUGGGCUUAAAGGGUGCGUAGGUGGUUGCGUAAGUAACGUGUGAAAUCCCUCGGCUUACCCGGGGAAUUGCGCGUUAUACUGCGUGACUUGAGGAUUUCAGGGGAAUGGGGAACUCCAGGUGUAGCGGUGAAAUGCGCAGAUAUCUGGGGGAAGGCCGGCGGCGAAGGCGCAUUCUGGGAAAUUCCUGACACUGAGGCACGAAAGCGUGGGGAGCAAACAGG